ANGGUCAGACUCCUACGGGAGGCAGCAGUGGGGAAUAUUGGACAAUGGGCGAAAGCCUGAUCCAGCCAUGCCGCGUGUGUGAAGAAGGUCUUCGGAUUGUAAAGCACUUUAAGUUGGGAGGAAGGGCAGUAAGUUAAUACCUUGCUGUUUUGACGUUACCAACAGAAUAAGCACCGGCUAACUUCGUGCCAGCAGCCGCGGUAAUACGAAGGGUGCAAGCGUUAAUCGGAAUUACUGGGCGUAAAGCGCGCGUAGGUGGUUCAGCAAGUUGGAUGUGAAAUCCCCGGGCUCAACCUGGGAACUGCAUCCAAAACUACUGAGCUAGAGUACGGUAGAGGGUGGUGGAAUUUCCUGUGUAGCGGUGAAAUGCGUAGAUAUAGGAAGGAACACCAGUGGCGAAGGCGACCACCUGGACUGAUACUGACACUGAGGUGCGAAAGCGUGGGGAGCAAACAGGAUUAGAUACCCUGGUAGUCCACGCCGUAAACGAUGUCGACUAGCCGUUGGGAUCCUUGAGAUCUUAGUGGCGCAUCUAACGCGAUAAGUCGACCGCCUGGGGAGUACGGCCGCAAGGUUAAAACUCAAAUGAAUUGACGGGGGCCCGCACAAGCGGUGGAGCAUGUGGUUUAAUUAUAAGCAACGCGAAGAACCUUACCUGGUCUUGACAUGCUGAGAACUUUCCAUACAUGGAUUGGUGCCUUCCGGAACUCAAACACAGGUGCUGCAUGGAUGUCAUCAGCUCGUGAUUCGAUAUGUUACGUUAAGUCCCGUAACGAGUAACUUACUGGCCCUUCUCUACCCUCACCUCGCGUGGGCACUCUAAGAAGACUGUCAGUGACNAACCAUGNGAAGGUGGGGAUGACGUCAGUCAUCAUGGUCCUCACUGCUGCGUCUACACACGAGCUACAAUGGUCUGUACAAACGGUGCGAUCCNNGGGGGGGANAAAAAAAA
RNAcentral lists this ribosomal RNA (952 nucleotides) under Pseudomonas sp. BS1. RNAcentral describes it as "bacterial SSU rRNA". It matches the Rfam family "Bacterial small subunit ribosomal RNA", at positions 327 to 1280 of the family's 1533-position model. The record is from RNAcentral. Lineage: Bacteria; Pseudomonadati; Pseudomonadota; Gammaproteobacteria; Pseudomonadales; Pseudomonadaceae. RNAcentral also lists the same sequence under 1 other name.